GGAGAUAGCUGGUUCUCCCCGAAAGCUAUUUAGGUAGCGCCUCGUGAAUUCAUCUCCGGGGGUAGAGCACUGUUUCGGCUAGGGGGCCAUCCCGGCUUACCAACCCGAUGCAAACUGCGAAUACCGGAGAAUGUUAUCACGGGAGACACACGGCGGGUGCUAACGUCCGUCGUGAAGAGGGAAACAACCCAGACCGCCAGCUAAGGUCCCAAAGUCAUGGUUAAGUGGGAAACGAUGUGGGAAGGCCCAGACAGCCAGGAUGUUGGCUUAGAAGCAGCCAUCAUUUAAAGAAAGCGUAAUAGCUCACUGGUCGAGUCGGCCUGCGCGGAAGAUGUAACGGGGCUAAACCAUGCACCGAAGCUGCGGCAGCGACGCUGAUGCGUUGUUGGGUAGGGGAGCGUUCUGUAAGCCUGUGAAGGUGGCCUGUGAGGGUUGCUGGAGGUAUCAGAAGUGCGAAUGCUGACAUAAGUAACGAUAAAGCGGGUGAAAAGCCCGCUCGCCGGAAGACCAAGGGUUCCUGUCCAACGUUAAUCGGGGCAGGGUGAGUCGACCCCUAAGGCGAGGCCGAAAGGCGUAGUCGAUGGGAAACGGGUUAAUAUUCCCGUACUUGGUGUUACUGCGAAGGGGGGACGGAGAAGGCUAUGUUGGCCGGGCGACGGUUGUCCCGGUUUAAGCGUGUAGGUGUGUGUUCCAGGUAAAUCCGGUUCACUUUAACACUGAGGCGUGAUGACGAGGCACUACGGUGCUGAAGCAACAAAUGCCCUGCUUCCAGGAAAAGCCUCUAAGCAUCAGGUAACAUCAAAUCGUACCCCAAACCGACACAGGUGGUCAGGUAGAGAAUACCAAGGCGCUUGAGAGAACUCGGGUGAAGGAACUAGGCAAAAUGGUGCCGUAACUUCGGGAGAAGGCACGCUGACACGUAGGUGAAGUGAUUUACUCAUGGAGCUGAAGUCAGUCGAAGAUACCAGCUGGCUGCAACUGUUUAUUAAAAACACAGCACUGUGCAAACACGAAAGUGGACGUAUACGGUGUGACGCCUGCCCGGUGCCGGAAGGUUAAUUGAUGGGGUCAGCGCAAGCGAAGCUCCUGAUCGAAGCCCCGGUAAACGGCGGCCGUAACUAUAACGGUCCUAAGGUAGCGAAAUUCCUUGUCGGGUAAGUUCCGACCUGCACGAAUGGCGUAAUGAUGGCCAGGCUGUCUCCACCCGAGACUCAGUGAAAUUGAACUCGCUGUGAAGAUGCAGUGUACCCGCGGCAAGACGGAAAGACCCCGUGAACCUUUACUAUAGCUUGACACUGAACAUUGAGCCUUGAUGUGUAGGAUAGGUGGGAGGCUUUGAAGUGUGGACGCCAGUCUGCAUGGAGCCGACCUUGAAAUACCACCCUUUAAUGUUUGAUGUUCUAACGUGGACCCGUAAUCCGGGUUGCGGACAGUGUCUGGUGGGUAGUUUGACUGGGGCGGUCUCCUCCUAAAGAGUAACGGAGGAGCACGAAGGUUGGCUAAUCCUGGUCGGACAUCAGGAGGUUAGUGCAAUGGCAUAAGCCAGCUUGACUGCGAGCGUGACGGCGCGAGCAGGUGCGAAAGCAGGUCAUAGUGAUCCGGUGGUUCUGAAUGGAAGGGCCAUCGCUCAACGGAUAAAAGGUACUCCGGGGAUAACAGGCUGAUACCGCCCAAGAGUUCAUAUCGACGGCGGUGUUUGGCACCUCGAUGUCGGCUCAUCACAUCCUGGGGCUGAAGUAGGUCCCAAGGGUAUGGCUGUUCGCCAUUUAAAGUGGUACGCGAGCUGGGUUUAGAACGUCGUGAGACAGUUCGGUCCCUAUCUGCCGUGGGCGCUGGAGAACUGAGGGGGGCUGCUCCUAGUACGAGAGGACCGGAGUGGACGCAUCACUGGUGUUCGGGUUGUCAUGCCAAUGGCACUGCCCGGUAGCUAAAUGCGGAAGAGAUAAGUGCUGAAAGCAUCUAAGCACGAAACUUGCCCCGA
This 1981-nucleotide ribosomal RNA is filed under the name Salmonella enterica. Its description in RNAcentral is "partial 23S ribosomal RNA". It matches the Rfam family "Bacterial large subunit ribosomal RNA", at positions 841 to 2802 of the family's 2925-position model. Lineage: Bacteria; Pseudomonadati; Pseudomonadota; Gammaproteobacteria; Enterobacterales; Enterobacteriaceae. The record is from RNAcentral.